This 245-nucleotide ribosomal RNA is filed under the name uncultured bacterium. RNAcentral describes it as "partial 16S ribosomal RNA". It matches the Rfam family "Bacterial small subunit ribosomal RNA", at positions 524 to 768 of the family's 1533-position model. The record is from RNAcentral.
UACAGAGGUGGCAAGCGUUGUUCGGAUUUACUGGGCGUAAAGGGUGCGUAGGCGGUUUUGCGUGUCGGGUGUGAAAUUCUGCCGCUCAAUGGCAGAGCUGCGUCCGAAACUACAAAACUAGAGUUCAGGAGAGGAAAGCGGAAUUCUUGGUGUAGCGGUGGAAUGCGUUGAUAUCAAGAGGAACACCGGUGGCGAAGGCGGCUUUCUGGAAUGCAACUGACGCUGAGGCACGAAAGUUGGGGGAG